CCUACGGGUGGCAGCAGUGAGGAAUAUUGGUCAAUGGGCGGAAGCCUGAACCAGCCAAGUCGCGUGAGGGAUUAAGGCCCUGCGGGUCGUAAACCUCUUUUGCCGGGGAGCAGAGGUCCGGACGUGUCCGGGCCGGGAGAGUACCCGGAGAAAAAGCAUCGGCAAACUCCGUGCCAGCAGCCGCGGUAAUACGGAGGAUGCGAGCGUUAUCCGAAUUUAUUGGGUUUACAGGGUGCGUAGGCGGGCAUUUAAGCCGGUGGGAAAAGGUCGGGGCUCAACCCCGGCCUGCCGUCGAAACUGGGUGCCUUGAGUGGGCGAGAGGUAUGCGGAAUGCGUGGUGUAGCGGUGAAAUGCAUAGAUAUCACGCAGAACCCCGAUUGCGAAGGCAGCAUACCGGCGCCCUACUGACGCUGAGGCACGAAAGUGCGGGUAUCGAACAGGAUUAGAUACCCUUGUAGUC
This 460-nucleotide ribosomal RNA is filed under the name uncultured bacterium. RNAcentral's name for it is "partial 16S ribosomal RNA". It matches the Rfam family "Bacterial small subunit ribosomal RNA", at positions 338 to 795 of the family's 1533-position model. The record is from RNAcentral.